This 403-nucleotide ribosomal RNA is filed under the name bacterium. Its description in RNAcentral is "partial 16S ribosomal RNA". It matches the Rfam family "Bacterial small subunit ribosomal RNA", at positions 355 to 776 of the family's 1533-position model. The record is from RNAcentral.
UGGGGAAUAUUGCACAAUGGGGGAAACCCUGAUGCAGCGACGCCGCGUGAACGAAGAAGGUAUUCGUAUCGUAAAGUUCUGUCCUAUGGGAAGAUAAUGACAGUACCAUAGAAGAAAGCUCCGGCUAAAUACGUGCCAGCAGCCGCGGUAAUACGUAUGGAGCGAGCGUUGUCCGGAAUUAUUGGGCGUAAAGGGUACGCAGGCGGUUUAAUAAGUCGAAUGUUAAAGAUCGGGGCUCAACCCCGUAAUGCAUUGGAAACUGAUAAACUUGAGUAUUGGAGAGGAAAGUGGAAUUCCUAGUGUAGUGGUGAAAUACGUAGAUAUUAGGAGGAAUACCAGUAGCGAAGGCGACUUUCUGGACACAAACUGACGCUGAGGUACGAAAGCGUGGGGAGCAAACAGG